AAUUCGAUGCAACGCGAAAACCUUACCCACCUUUGACAUGUACGGAACUUGCCAGAGAUGGCUUGGUGCUCGAAAGAGAGCCGUAACACAGGUGCUGCAUGGCUGUCGUCAGCUCGUGUCGUGAGAUGUUGGGUUAAGUCCCGCAACGAGCGCAACCCUUGUCAUUAGUUGCUACAUUCAGUUGGGCACUCUAAUGAGACUGCCGGUGACAAGCCGGAGGAAGGUGGGGAUGACGUCAAGUCCUCAUGGCCCUUAUAGGUGGGGCUACACACGUCAUACAAUGGCCGGUACAAAGGGACGCCAACCCGCGAGGGGGAGCCAAUCCAAUAAAGCCGGUCGUAGUCCGGAUCGCAGUCUGCAACUCGACUGCGUGAAGUCGGAAUCGCUAGUAAUCGUGAAUCAGAAUGUCACGGUGAAUACGUUCCCGGGCCUU
This 433-nucleotide ribosomal RNA is filed under the name uncultured Rhodoferax sp. Its description in RNAcentral is "bacterial SSU rRNA". It matches the Rfam family "Bacterial small subunit ribosomal RNA", at positions 948 to 1382 of the family's 1533-position model. Lineage: Bacteria; Pseudomonadati; Pseudomonadota; Betaproteobacteria; Burkholderiales; Comamonadaceae. The record is from RNAcentral.